Molecule: long non-coding RNA, 347 nt
Filed under: Linum usitatissimum (flax)
Lineage: Eukaryota; Viridiplantae; Streptophyta; Magnoliopsida; Malpighiales; Linaceae
Description: long non-coding RNA (LUSI_LNC006503)
Source: RNAcentral
CUUAUUAUUUUACUAACCAUUCAUGUGUAACAUAUUACUCUAUAAGUACAUUUCAUUUCCUUGAGGUUCUGAUCAUUACUGUACAAUGCUUUUAUUGCUGAUUGUUUUCUGGUUUCUGCAAGGAGAAGAAGAUUUGGACAGUACAGUGUGAAAUGACUCACUCACUCAACAAGGAAAUGUAUAAAUGUCUGCAUGCAGCAAAAGAGACCUUUUGUUUUCGGCUCUCCCGCCCGCCAUACAAUGUAACUAACUACACUAUUUCUCGAGGACAACCCUUUAAUCUUUGACAAUAAAAUUGAAAAAUCUAUUUAUUAGCGGAUUUAAAAUGGAGUUGUUUAAGGUCCGGC